Myotis myotis is the source of this 735-nucleotide long non-coding RNA. RefSeq lists it as uncharacterized. Lineage: Eukaryota; Metazoa; Chordata; Mammalia; Chiroptera; Vespertilionidae. The record is from RefSeq and is a predicted model, not a curated record. The transcript has 5 exons.
ACUGCAGACACAGCUGAUUCUCACAGCCAGUUGGCCUGGAGGUCAAAUCCCCCCCAGCAUUACCUACAGCAAUCAAAAUUUAAAAACAAUCAGUGGUCACAUGGAAGAAAUAAUGUUUGUGUGAAGUUAGUCACUGACAGCUAUUGAUGAUGUGGCAGAAUAUUAGAAACAGAUCAGCAGUCCAUCAACAGGAGACAGGUCGUUAUCUCCUGCCUGAGAGGAGGACUCCACGUCACUCUGUGAGACAAGCCCCUGAUUGACUGCUCUGCUGUGUGAGCCUGAACCAACUGUGGCCACCUGUCUGUCUCCAUCUUCGUCGUCCGUCUUUCAGUGUGCAUCGCCAGGUGGCCUUUGCUGGAGCCUAGGACCCACUAGGAAUAGGCAGAAGGCUCCCUAAAGAUGUCCACAACCUAAUCCUUGGACCAUGCAACUGUGCUGUACUAUAUAACAAAGGGAAAUCUGUAGAUAUCAUUAAAGUCAUAGACUUUAAAAAUGAGGAGAGAAGAAAAAAGAAAUGAGAGAGCCCUGGCCGGUUUUGCUCAGUGGAUAGAGCGUCAUCGUUGGCCGUGGACUGAAGGAUCACAGACCUUGAGGCCUGCAAAAAAUCAGGCUCAGUAUCAUCUACAUCAAGUAUGUCAAACUCGCAGCCCAAGGGCUGCAUGUGGCCCACAACGAAUGUUUUUUGCAGCCCAGCCAAUAUAACGAGAGAAAGUGAGAAGAAGAGAGAGAAAGAAA